RNAcentral lists this ribosomal RNA (1238 nucleotides) under Promethis valgipes. Its description in RNAcentral is "16S ribosomal RNA". The stretch from base 784 to 1238 matches the Rfam family "Bacterial large subunit ribosomal RNA", at positions 2048 to 2733 of the family's 2925-position model. Lineage: Eukaryota; Metazoa; Arthropoda; Insecta; Coleoptera; Tenebrionidae. The record is from RNAcentral.
GUUAUAGGAAGGAUUUUCUUUUUUAUUAUUUUUGUUUGAAAAAAUUGGUUUUAUGAUAGUGAAUAGUGUAGUAAUAGAAAUGAUUUUAGCUUUAAAAAGAAGGCUUUUCUUGUCGUACCUUGUGUAUCAGGGUUUAUCUAAUUUUGCUUGAUAAUUCAGGUUUCCCGAUUUCGAAGGAGUUAUGCUUAAAUUUAUUUUAGUGUUGAAUAACUACUUAUAAUUUUAGCAUGGAAAUGAAACGUUAUUCGCUUUUGAUUGUAUCUGGUUUCCUAAGAAAUUGAUUUAAUUAGGAGGGCAUGAGCUGUUUGGGUUAUUUUUUACUUUAACUGUCUUGUUUCUUAAUAUUCAGGGGGACAAGCUCCUGAAUAAAUUUAUAUAAGAUCUUUGUUUAUAAAUUUUUAUAGGAUUAGAAUUUUCCAUUGUUUUAGUAUGUUAUAAUUAGUGUUUAUUUUCUUUGAUUUUUUUUUCUUUAUUUAUUUAUUAGGAUUUUUUCUUUGAUUUUUUCUGGUUUGUAAUUAUGAUGAAAUUAGUAUAUUAUUUUGUAUUCAUAUGUUUUUUUUUUUAGUUAAAUAGAAGGAACUCGGCAAACGCGGUUUUCACCUGUUUAUUAAAAACAUGUCUUUUUGUUUAUGAUUUAAGGUCGGGCCUGCCCAAUGAUUUUUAAAUGGCCGCAGUAUUUUGACUGUGCAAAGGUAGCAUAAUCAUUAGUUUCUUAAUUAGGAGCUGGAAUGAAAGGUUUGAUGAAAGACUAACUGUCUCUUGUUUAUUUAAUAUAAUUUUAUUUUUGAGUAAGAAAGCUUAAAUUUUAUAGAAAGACGAGAAGACCCUAUAGAGUUUUAUAUUUAUUUUCGUUGUAUUUGUUAAGAUUUAUGUUUUUUAAUGAUUUUAAGUAUUUUGUUGGGGUGACAUAAAAAUUAACAUAACUUUUUAUUAUUUUUACGCUUAUUUGCGGCUUGUUGAUCCUUGUUUUUGGAUUAUAAGAUUAAAUUACCUUAGGGAUAACAGCGUUAUUUUUCCUGAAAGUUCUUAUUGAUGGGAAAGUUUGCGACCUCGAUGUUGGAUUAAAAUUUACUUUUGGUGCAGAAGCUGAAUAGUUAGGUCUGUUCGACCUUUAAAAUUUUACAUGAUCUGAGUUUAGACCGGCGUGAGCCAGGUUGGUUUCUAUCUUUUGUUAAUGUUGCUGUUUUAGUACGAAAGGACCAGGCGGCAAAAUCAUAUUUUUUUGUUGAAUACUAUUA